RNAcentral lists this ribosomal RNA (454 nucleotides) under uncultured Allobrachymonas sp. RNAcentral describes it as "bacterial SSU rRNA". It matches the Rfam family "Bacterial small subunit ribosomal RNA", at positions 923 to 1382 of the family's 1533-position model. The record is from RNAcentral. Lineage: Bacteria; Pseudomonadati; Pseudomonadota; Betaproteobacteria; Burkholderiales; Comamonadaceae.
GCACAAGCGGUGGAUGAUGUGGUUUAAUUCGAUGCAACGCGAAAACCUUACCCACCUUUGACAUGGCAGGAAUCCCGAAGAGAUUUGGGAGUGCUCGAAAGAGAACCUGCACACAGGUGCUGCAUGGCUGUCGUCAGCUCGUGUCGUGAGAUGUUGGGUUAAGUCCCGCAACGAGCGCAACCCUUGCCAUUAGUUGCUACGAAAGGGCACUCUAAUGGGACUGCCGGUGACAAACCGGAGGAAGGUGGGGAUGACGUCAAGUCCUCAUGGCCCUUAUAGGUGGGGCUACACACGUCAUACAAUGGCCGGUACAGAGGGUAGCCAACCCGCGAGGGGGAGCCAAUCCCACAAAGCCGGUCGUAGUCCGGAUCGCAGUCUGCAACUCGACUGCGUGAAGUCGGAAUCGCUAGUAAUCGCGGAUCAGCAUGUCGCGGUGAAUACGUUCCCGGGUCUU